This 477-nucleotide long non-coding RNA is filed under the name Felis catus (domestic cat). RNAcentral describes it as "lncRNA (ENSFCAG00000048773.1)". Lineage: Eukaryota; Metazoa; Chordata; Mammalia; Carnivora; Felidae. The record is from RNAcentral.
GUGUUAAAGAAGCUAUCAAUUGUUUUUAAUAACCCAGGAGUGAAUUGCAUUUGGUCUACACUGUGACGUUGUUCAUCCUGCUGUGUGCACGGGGAGCCGGACCCACCUGAAAUGCAUGAAUGCGCUCUCUCACUCUCCGGUUAGAUGAAUGGACAGCACUCACAGGUGAUCGGAAGGAUGGGAAAGAGAAGCAAUGGCUGUCCUUGUGGUGUGACUCAAGAUACCUCAAGGUCAAGAUGACGUCUGAUAGUUCUUCCCCUGGCUGGCAGCAACUCCAGUCCCCUCACUCCCACCUUACUGAAGUUUGCAGGUAGGUGCUUUCUGGAGACAUUUACUCUGUAAAUGGAUUAAGAUCUUAUUACCUAGAAGGUAACGUCUUGGAUAGUUUCUACAUAGCGGGGCUUUGCUUAUCUAGAGAGUCCUUUAGCGUUCAGUUUCACCUAAGGGACAGACGUGAGCUGGGAAAGAAGAAUGGGA